GAUGAACGCUAGCUACAGGCUUAACACAUGCAAGUCGAGGGGCAGCAUGGUCUUAGCUUGCUAAGGCCGAUGGCGACCGGCGCACGGGUGAGUAACACGUAUCCAACCUGCCGUCUACUCUUGGACAGCCUUCUGAAAGGAAGAUUAAUACAAGAUGGCAUCAUGAGUCCGCAUGUUCACAUGAUUAAAGGUAUUCGGGUAGACGAUGGGGAUGCGUUCCAUUAGAUAGUAGGCGGGGUAACGGCCCACCUAGUCUUCGAUGGAUAGGGGUUCUGAGAGGAAGGUCCCCGACAUUGGAACUGGGACACGGUCCAAACUCCUACGGGAGGCAGCAGUGAGGAAGAUUGGUCAAUGGGCGCAGGCCUGAACCAGCCAAGUAGCGUGAAGGAUGACUGCCCUAUGGGUUGUAAACUUCUUUUAUAAAGGAAUAAAGUCGGGUAUGUAUACCCGUUUGCAUGUACUUUAUGAAUAAGGAUCGGCUAACUCCGUG
This 490-nucleotide ribosomal RNA is filed under the name uncultured bacterium. Its description in RNAcentral is "partial 16S ribosomal RNA". It matches the Rfam family "Bacterial small subunit ribosomal RNA", at positions 28 to 507 of the family's 1533-position model. The record is from RNAcentral.